UCAUGAGAUCAACAGUCAAGAUGUGUUCACACAGUGAAAAAGCGUCGUACAAAAACCUCCCUCAGUCAGACUGAACACACAGCUGCAGAGUCUGACACACUUCACUGAGGAUACACACACACACACACACACACACACACACACACACACACACACACACACACACACACACACACACACACACACUGUUACACGUCUCCCUUCGUUUUGAUCAUGAUCACUAUUCCACCAUUAAUUAAUUCAAACUCCUUAUCCACUUUAAAAAUACUCUGAAGGUCUUUCAGCAACAUUUGAAGACACUCAAAUGACCCGUUCAAGUAAAGCAGAUAUUUAUACCAAGACAUUUUAUAUAUUUGUAUUUAUUUAAUGUAAAUAUUUGGGCCUUUGGCUUGACUCCCAUCUAUCCUUUAUAACUCAUAUUGAUUCAAUCACAGAGAAAAUAUAAUAUUGUCUUUUAAAAUUGUUUUCUCGUUCAAAGAGUGUUUCUCUCUGAAGGUUCAGAGAAAAAUUGUAACACAGUUGAUUCUGACAAUACUUGACUAUGCAGAUAUAGUGUACCAAAAUACAACUGAAACAAAUCUUGGUCCUCUGUCUGCGCUUUAUAACAGUCUUUGUAGAUUCAUUCUCAGGAGCCCAUUUCAAACUCAUCCAUGUUUCAUCCAUGAGUCUCUGAACUGGCUUUCACCCAAAUCUAGAAGAAAGUUUCACUGGUUUCAGUUCAUCUUUAAAUGCAAUUAUUUUAGUUUUCCUCCUUAUUUGAACCAGUUCCUAAUAUCAUUAACGUCGCAAUAUAGACCAAGACACACAACCAAUCUACCUUUCUUUACCCCCAGAAUCACUAAAGAAAUUGGGCGUUGUGUCGUGACCCCCUUGAAAAUGAGAUGGUCCAUCUGAAGGGGCUUUCCUCCUCAAUAAAUGAAAUAAACAUUUAUAAUAAAAUCAAAACACAAAGAAUUUGUCAUGAGGCAGGGUUAAACAAAGGAAAAGGACCCAAAUAUGCAGACGAAAAAAAAAAGAUUUAUAAAAAAGAACAAAAUGAAAAGAAACAAAAAGAGAAAAAUCCAACAAAAGGGUUAGGAGGAAAAAAACAACAAGGAGACGAGGGAUUCACACAUCGAGGAUCAGGGUGAACUGACAGACAGACAAACACACAAUGAACCAACAAGAACAGAGAGACAGGGACUAUAUACACUCAC
Non-coding RNA from Xyrichtys novacula (pearly razorfish), 1196 nucleotides. NCBI's taxonomy places the organism in Eukaryota, Metazoa, Chordata, Actinopteri, Labriformes, Labridae. The record is from the annotation of a GenBank genome assembly.